UAGAAAAUACCUAUGUCAGUAUCAAUAAAAAUAAGAGCACUUUGAGCAGUAGCUUAAGCAUACAAAAAACAAUUUGAUCGUAUUGAACGGCUGAGCCAGCCUGAAAGACAAUACCUAUGUCACUAAUAAAAUGUAAAAUUUUAAUUUCCUAAGCUUACUCAAAAAGAAAUAUUUACAAUUGAUCAAUAAAAUUUAAUGUUAUUCUUGAUUCGAUUGUAAUGCCGUAAAUACAGAUUGUAUAAAAUUUUAUUACUUAGAUUGUUUUAAAAUAUUCAAAUAUUGUAAAAAUGCAUUUAUUGUAUUAUUUAAACUUUAGUUGAAUAGUUAUAAAAUGUUUAACACCAUUAACUUAACUAUUACGUUAAAAAAAUAAUUAUAUCAUCAAAAUAUUACAUUAUUUAGCAUUAAAUAUUUAAUUAAACGAUUAUAUUAAGCCUAAAUUAUAUUAAUCUAUCAAAUUUCUUUAAUUGACUUACCUAAGAUUAACGAUGUUUUCGAGAAAAUCCAACUUUUAUCCAGUUUACAAUAUCGCUGAUGACGAUUAAUUGCUAUUUUGCCGCCAUUUUUAUUCAUUCGCCAAUCAUAAUUAGUAUUUUCAAUUACGCGUUUUGCGCAUGAGUAGAGAAAGUUGUGUAAGCGUUUCGACCUCGAAAGUAUGAGUUCAACAAGUUAUUAUAUGGUCCGAAUGUAUUUUAUAUCGAAAACGAGGCAGGGGUGUAAAGCAGUUUACACAAAUAUCCCAUAUAAACUAUAUGGGACCAAUAAUUUACACACUUUUUACACACCGUGUGUAUCAAUUUCCGACUUUCCGGACUUUGGGGGACUUCGUUUUUAUUUAAGAUAUACAUGUUUUGAAAAGUGUAGAAUCCAUUUCUGAAGUCCAAAAAGUCGGGACCGAAACCCGGUCCACACUUUGUUGUCGGACCCCACUAAAAAGGUGUUUAUUCAUACUUCGGUCCCCAAAAGUGGGCUUUGCCAACACACACACACACACACACACACACA
This 1005-nucleotide long non-coding RNA is filed under the name Androctonus crassicauda. Lineage: Eukaryota; Metazoa; Arthropoda; Arachnida; Scorpiones; Buthidae. The record is from RNAcentral.